AUUGAACGCUGGCGGCAUGCCUUACACAUGCAAGUCGAACGGCAGCACGGGUGCUUGCACCUGGUGGCGAGUGGCGAACGGGUGAGUAAUACAUCGGAACAUGUCCUGUAGUGGGGGAUAGCCCGGCGAAAGCCGGAUUAAUACCGCAUACGAUCUACGGAUGAAAGCGGGGGACCUUCGGGCCUCGCGCUAUAGGGUUGGCCGAUGGCUGAUUAGCUAGUUGGUGGGGUAAAGGCCUACCAAGGCGACGAUCAGGAGCUGGUCUGAGAGGACGACCAGCCACACUGGGACUGGGCCACGGCCCAGGCUCCUACGGGAGGCAGCAGUGGGGAAUUUUGGACAAUGGGCGAAAGCCUGGUCCAGCAGUGCCGCGUGUGUGAAGAAGGCCUUCGGGUUGUAAAGCACUUUUGUCCGGAAAGAAAUCCUUGGCCCUAAUACGGUCGGGGGAUGACGGUACCGGAAGAAUAAGCACCGGCUAACUACGUG
Molecule: ribosomal RNA, 486 nt
Filed under: uncultured bacterium
Lineage: Bacteria
Description: partial 16S ribosomal RNA
Rfam family: Bacterial small subunit ribosomal RNA
Source: RNAcentral